CAGCUUGAGUGCCAAAUGUGAUUAUUUUUCCAGGUGGAAGGAGUGUGUGUGUGUGUGUGUGUGUGAGAGAGAGAGAGAGAAUGAGAUAGGAGGUGUGUGUGAGAGAGAGAGAGAGAGAGAGAGGGAGAGAAUGAGAUAGAAGGUGUGUGUGUGUGUGAGAGAGAGAGAGAGAGAGAGGGAGAGAAUGAGAUAGAAGGUGUGUGUGUGUGUGUGAGAGAGAGAGAGAGAGAGGGAGAGAAUGAGAUAGAAGGUGUGUGUGUGUGUGUGAGAGAGAGAGAGAGAGAAUGAGAUAGGAGGUGUGUGUGUGUGUGAGAGAGAGAGAGAGAGAGAGAGAGAGAGAAUGAGAUAGAAGGUGUGUGUGUGUGUGAGAGAGAGAGAGAGAGAGAG
Molecule: long non-coding RNA, 387 nt
Organism: Clupea harengus (Atlantic herring)
Lineage: Eukaryota; Metazoa; Chordata; Actinopteri; Clupeiformes; Clupeidae
Source: Ensembl